AUUGAACGCUGGCGGCAGGCCUAACACAUGCAAGUGGAGCGAGCGGAGGACGGGUUAGUAGUGCUUGCGAGUGUCCCAGUCGCGGGGGCAACCAGUUGGGAACGACUGCUAAUACCUCAUACGAGUGGAAUGCCCAGGUGUGAUUAGGUAGUUGGUGAGUUAAUGGCUCACCAAGGCGACGAUCCCUAGCUGAUCUGAGAGGAUGGUCAGCCACACUGGAACGGAGAAACGGUCCAGGAUCCUACGUGCGGCAGCAGUGGGGAAUAUUGCAGAAUGGGGGAAACCCUGAUGCAGCCAGGCCGCGUGGGUGAAGAAGGCCUUCGGGUUGUAAAGCACUUUCUGCGAGGAGGCGUUACUCGCACAAGAAGCACCGGCUAACUCCGUGCCAGCAGCCGCGGUAAUAC
Molecule: ribosomal RNA, 404 nt
Filed under: uncultured bacterium
Lineage: Bacteria
Description: partial 16S ribosomal RNA
Rfam family: Bacterial small subunit ribosomal RNA
Source: RNAcentral